CGGGGGGAGCAAGCGUUGUUCGGAUUUACUGGGCGUAAAGGGCGCGUAGGCGGCCAGCACAAGUCAGUUGUGAAAUCUCCGAGCUUAACUCGGAAAGGUCAACUGAUACUGUGCGGCUAGAGUGCAGAAGGGGCAACUGGAAUUCUUGGUGUAGCGGUGAAAUGCGUAGAUAUCAAGAGGAACACCUGCGGCGAAGGCGGGUUGCUGGGCUGACACUGACGCUGAGGCGCGAAAGCCAGGGGAGCGAACGGGAUUAGAUACCCCGGUAGUCCUGGCCUUAAACGAUGAAUGCUUGGUGUCUGGGGUUAUAAAGUCCCCGGGUGCCGUCGCUAACGCUUUAAGCAUUCCGCCUGGGGAGUACGGUCGCAAGACUG
This 374-nucleotide ribosomal RNA is filed under the name uncultured organism. Its description in RNAcentral is "bacterial SSU rRNA". It matches the Rfam family "Bacterial small subunit ribosomal RNA", at positions 526 to 896 of the family's 1533-position model. The record is from RNAcentral.